ACGGGAGGCAGCAGUGGGGGAUAUUGCACAAUGGGGGGAACCCUGAUGCAGCGACGCCGCGUGAGCGAAGAAGAUCUUCGGAUUGUAAAGCUCUGUCUUAGGGGACGAUAAUGACGGUACCCUGAGAGGAAGCCACGGCUAACUACGUGCCAGCAGCCGCGGUAAUACGUAGGUGGCAAGCGUUGUCCGGAAUUACUGGGUGUAAAGGGAGCGCAGGCGGGUCGACAAGUUGGAAGUGAAAAUUACAGGCUUAACUUGUAAACUGCUUUCAAAACUGCCGAUCUUGAGUGGUGUAGAGGUAGGCGGAAUUCCCGGUGUAGCGGUGGAAUGCGUAGAUAUCGGGAGGAACACCAGUGGCGAAGGCGGCCUACUGGGCACUAACUGACGCUGAGGCUCGAAAGCAUGGGUAGCAAACAGGAUUAGAUACCCUGGUA
RNAcentral lists this ribosomal RNA (434 nucleotides) under uncultured Oscillospiraceae bacterium. Its description in RNAcentral is "partial 16S ribosomal RNA". It matches the Rfam family "Bacterial small subunit ribosomal RNA", at positions 341 to 792 of the family's 1533-position model. Lineage: Bacteria; Bacillati; Bacillota; Clostridia; Eubacteriales; Oscillospiraceae. The record is from RNAcentral.